RNAcentral lists this transfer RNA (75 nucleotides) under Acidobacteriota bacterium. RNAcentral describes it as "Acidobacteria bacterium tRNA-Gln". It matches the Rfam family "tRNA". From Rfam's summary of the family: Transfer RNA (tRNA) molecules are approximately 80 nucleotides in length. Their secondary structure includes four short double-helical elements and three loops (D, anti-codon, and T loops). Lineage: Bacteria; Pseudomonadati; Acidobacteriota. The record is from RNAcentral. RNAcentral also lists the same sequence under 2 other names.
UGGGGCGUGGCCAAGCGGUAAGGCGCGGGGCUUUGGACCCCGUAUUCGAAGGUUCGAAUCCUUCCGCCCCAGCCA